AUUGAACGCUGGCGGCAGGCCUAACACAUGCAAGUCGAACGGUAACAGGAAGAAGCUUGCUUCUUUGCUGACGAGUGGCGGACGGGUGAGUAAUGUCUGGGAAACUGCCUGAUGGAGGGGGAUAACUACUGGAAACGGUAGCUAAUACCGCAUAACGUCGCAAGACCAAAGAGGGGGACCUUCGGGCCUCUUGCCAUCGGAUGUGCCCAGAUGGGAUUAGCUAGUAGGUGGGGUAACGGCUCACCUAGGCGACGAUCCCUAGCUGGUCUGAGAGGAUGACCAACCACACUGGAACUGAGACACGGUCCAGACUCCUACGGGAGGCAGCAGUGGGGAAUAUUGCACAAUGGGCGCAAGCCUGAUGCAGCCAUGCCGCGUGUAUGAAGAAGGCCUUCGGGUUGUAAAGUACUUUCAGCGGGGAGGAAGGGAGUAAAGUUAAUACCUUUACUCAUUGACGUUACCCGCAGAAGAAGCACCGGCUAACUCCGUG
This 490-nucleotide ribosomal RNA is filed under the name uncultured bacterium. Its description in RNAcentral is "partial 16S ribosomal RNA". It matches the Rfam family "Bacterial small subunit ribosomal RNA", at positions 30 to 507 of the family's 1533-position model. The record is from RNAcentral.